AGGGGGCUAGCGUUGUUCGGAAUUACUGGGCGUAAAGCGCACGUAGGCGGACAUUUAAGUCAGGGGUGAAAUCCCGGGGCUCAACCCCGGAACUGCCUUUAAUACUGCCAAUCUAGAGACCGAGAGAGGUAAGUGGAACUCCUAGUGUAGAGGUGGAAUUCGUAGAUAUUAGGAAGAACACCAGUGGCGAAGGCGGCUUACUGGCUCGGAACUGACGCUGAGGUGCGAAAGCGUGGGGAGCAAACAG
RNAcentral lists this ribosomal RNA (247 nucleotides) under uncultured bacterium. RNAcentral's name for it is "partial 16S ribosomal RNA". It matches the Rfam family "Bacterial small subunit ribosomal RNA", at positions 529 to 775 of the family's 1533-position model. The record is from RNAcentral.